Oryctolagus cuniculus (rabbit) is the source of this 8297-nucleotide non-coding RNA. Lineage: Eukaryota; Metazoa; Chordata; Mammalia; Lagomorpha; Leporidae. The record is from RefSeq and is a predicted model, not a curated record.
CAGGGAGGCUCCGUGGGCUCUGGCGGGGUCUCAGGCGCGGGGGUCGUUGCGUGCGCUCGUGCGCGUGCCCGCGAGGACUGGGUGCCCCUGAGUCCGUUAGCUGUGGAGGUGCCGCCGUGACCUAGGCCUCGGGCUCGGCUUCCAGCCGCCGCGCGGGUCCGCACCGGGCAGUGGGCCCGCGCCGGGGCGGUUACCAAGCCUUCCGGUGAUGUUCUCCCGCAGGAGACGCAGAACUACGAUUGCACGAGUUCUCUGUCGUGUGUGUGUGUGUUUAUCCAGUCACUCCUGUAUUUGAGAGAGCGAGGGAGACAGACAGGUCCCCCUUCCGCGGGCGCGCUCCCCAGAUGCCCUCAACGGCCAGGUGUGGGCCAGGCCGGAGCCUGGAGCCCGCGCUGCCUCCCAGGGGUGCGCCAGCAGGGAGCCGGUCUGGGUGGCCUCGGGCUGCGGGAUGCGGUGUCCCGGCACCGUGCUGACCGCUGCUGACCUUUCUGAGCCAGAGGGGUCUUCAAGGGACCUCCCCCGCGGAGACUGCGCCUCCUGCCAGGCUGGGAGCUUGGGGAAGCAGCGCCCGGCUCCCUUUCUCUCCCGUUGGUUCUGGAUGUGAGGCUGUGCUGGGAAUGGCCGUGCGCACGAUCAGAGCUCAAGACCGUGCAGCUGGCUAGGUCAGGGACGCUCACGUGAUGGACUGGUGGGCGGUGAAUAGGGUUAGUCCUGAGAAGGGGUACCCGUGUGAGCCCGAGAUGUGCACAGUUACGGGCAGUGGUAGUCAAGAAGUGUUUAAGUUCUUUAGGAAUCCCAUCUAAUAUGAGAUUUUUCUAAGAUAUUUUGCAAGGUUCUUGUGGGCAAUAUUUUGGUUAUUUAGUGAAGGAGAACAGGGGUUUGGCAAGUUUGUGAGCAUCUUUUCCGUAGGCAAGAUUCCGUCCACUUUGCAUUCAUUCUCUUAGUCUAUAACCACCACUUAGCCAGAGUUAUGUCUUCCAGAGAAGACUCUUGUUAGUGAAUGAGCCUAAUUAUAUUGAUAAAGUACAGUUAAUGGAUGUGCAUAUGAAAUUUCUGAAGGCAGAGUUAAUACAGACUUGUGAAAAAAAUGAGUAACCUGAAGAUAGAAUAGUUAUUUAGGGAUGCAUUCUCUCCCUCUUUCUUGCUAGCUUGUGACUAGGGUUCUGUUUUGUGUCUAGAAUAGAUUCACGCUAACCACUUAUGUUAGGAAGCAAAAGACUCUUAAUUCUUAGUUUAAAAAGGAGGCUGUGGACUUCAUACCCUGCGCAUGCGUGCUCCAGGAAGAGAAGAGCACGCCCUGAGCCUCCUGUAGUCUGAAAAAGACCCUCGAGGCUGGCGUGGCUCAGCAGGCUAGGCCACCACUUGCGAUGCUGACGUCCUGUGUUGGAGUACCUGCUGCACCUGCAAAAGUAGCAGAAGAUGGUCCGAGUGCUUGGGCCCCUGCCAUCUGUAUGGGAGACCCGGAUGGAUGGAAUUCCUGGUUCCUGGCUUUGGUCUGGCUCAGACCUGGCUGUUGCCACCAUUUGAAGAGUGAACCAAUAGGUGGAAGAUCUCUUUCUCUCUCUGCCUCUCCCUCUCCCUCUCUCUGUCCUUCUGACAUUCUGCCUUUCAAAUAAAUAAAUCAUUGAAAAAUUUUGUUAUCUCUUAAGGAUUAUAGCAGUGUUAUGUAAAAGCUGUUAGUGCAGGUAAAAGGACUUCCAAAGACCUGUCGUACAAAUUACUUUCCCAGUGACAAGCUUUGAUAUUUCCAGCCAUCAUAUCAGAGUGGGGCCUCUUUAGUGUGGGAGAAAUUCAAGUGUCAAUUCAAGUGUCAGUCUUUUCUGCUUUUUUUUAAGAAUGAUUUUUUAAAAAAUUAUUUAUUUGAAAGGCAGAGUUAGAGAGAGGCAGAGAGAGAGAAAAAAAAAAGGUCUUCCAUCCACUGGUUCACUCCCCAAAUGGCUGCAAUGGCUGGAGCGGAGCCGAUCCAAAGCCAGGAGCUUCUUUGGGGUCUCUGUGGGUGCAGGGUCCCAAGCACAGGGCCAUCUUCCACUGCUUUCCCAGGCCAUCGCAGAGAGCUGGAUCGGAAGUGGAGCAGCUGGGACUCAAACUGGCACCUUAUACAAGAUGCUGGCACUGCAGGAGGCGACUUUACCCACUACACCACAGUGUCAGCCCUGUAGAAUGAUAUUCUUAAGGCUGCUUUCUAAAUUUUGUGCUUAAAAUUAUAAUAAAGCAUGCCAGAGAGAUGUGUCCACAAAGAAUAGAAACAACGUUCUUCUUUUGUAAAAAUGAAAUAAAGGGCAUGUAAUGUUCUUCAUAUAAUAAAUUCAAUAAUAACAGCUAGCUCAUGUUAUACAAUUCUUCUAUUAAGUGUUUUCUGUGGGUUUUCUUACUCUUCAAGAGAACCAUAUGUAGUGAGUGGUGUUCUUAACCCUGUAUUAGUGAUGAGAAAAUCGAGCCUGAUCGAGUUCUUCUAUUUUCUCUACUUGUCCUGUCUUGGCUGACCUCACCCUCUCCUGGCACCAUGAAAAAAGUUCUGGCUUGGGUGAUAUGGACUGUUUUUCAACAUCCAGAGUGUGAGGGUGGAACGAGGAGAAUCUGUCAAGGAGAGCCAUGGAGCCCAGUGUCAGACGUAGAUCAGCCUCCUCCAGGGGGGCCUGGCCGGAACCCUGCAGGCGUCAGCCUCCUCCAGAGGGGCCUGGCCGGAACCCUGCAGGCGUUUGUGAUUCUGCCUCCAGGAAGAGGUCUGCCCUGCGUGCAGCUGUGAGCAGCUGGGUUCCGUGGGCUUCGACCCCCCCGCCCCCACUCUUCCCAAAUUUUGUCUGCAGGUGGUUGUAGCCUGUAAGGAGGCUGACAGGGAGGGACAAGAAGGUUUAUUGGCUUCCGUCAUCUGUGGACAUCGAAGCCUCCUUUUCUUCCAGCUUGGGUUUCCCAGAGUCUGAUAGAACUCCAACAGAGACGGAUUGGUUCUCACGUUCCUAAAGGCAUGGCUCACGUUCCCACCGGCCAGGCCUCAUCUCCUCCCUUCCAAGGGCUUGUUCACCUGCUGCUGCACCUGCUGCUGCUGUGACAGUUUUACACUGAACUCAGAUCUGCUCCCAGAUGCUUCAACACACACAUGGUUUGUGCCCGGGAUAUGAGGCCUGAUGUGCAGCCAAGUGUGAAAUGUCUUUCACACACACGUCACAGGGUGACGACCUGAAAGCAGAGAAAUGCCGGCCAAGUUCACGUAAACUCUGAUAACAGCAAACGGCCCCAUCGCAUGUGCCCACCUGACCCAGGGAUGACUUCACGGGAUUGUUGGAAACAUACGAAACCUUGGGUAAUGGUAAGGAGUGGUCCACACGGCAGUGCUGGCCUGGUCGGAUCACAAACUGGGAAAGCCCAAGAACACAAGGAUGGGGUUCAGUGCUGGGUGGUGAGACAGGAUCUCCAGCUCAUGUCCCUACCGAGACCUUUAAGCGGGGACUUGCCUACAGCAGGAGUGUCCAGACCCAUGAAAAUCUUGUUGUAGCCGAGCUCUAUACCAGAACUUCUAGGCAACGUGUGCGUCUGAUGACACCUGCAGCGUAGGCCGCCGUGGGCAAGUGCCACAACAGAAGCUGUGGAGUCGGCCUGAGGCCACGAGGGUGGAGCACGGGCAGAGAUGACCAUGGGCAAGGCGUCACGGUGAGAGGGGCACACUUGGCGUUCUCUGGGUGGUCCUGAGCCGGAAGCUGGCCGUUAUGAAUCACAAGACUCCCACCUUUGUCGGGACAGAAAAUGCAGCGACUAUCUCAGGCGACGACUACAACUUUCACACGGUCACACACCCUUGCACCAUUGGGCUCUUUUGUUUUAUUUUAUUUCAUCUUCUUCAAAAAUCAAUCCAAUUUGUUUUUAAUUUCUAAUUGACAACAUCACGUGAAGGGAUCAUGUACAACAUGGUUUUGCAAUACGUGCGGGUUGUGGAAUGGCUAAAGCGAUCUAGUUCAUAUACGUCUUAUCUCACAGUUACGGUCUUUGUGGUCAGAACACCUACAACCUACUUUCUUGACAUGCUCCAAGAACACAGUGUGCUGUUGUUAUCUAUCGAAAACAGAGUUCUUCAAGUCCUUCACCUGCCUAACUGAAAUUCUGGAGACUUUGAUCAGCACUUCCUCUCUCCGCCCGCUUCCCACCGCGGCCCCUGCACCUGCCCGGCCACCAGCACCCUGCCCCUGCCCGGCCAGCGUUUGCAGAUUCCACCUGUUGUGGACGACAGCCCUUUAUCAAAUGUCUUUUGCAAAUAUUUCUUUAUGCUCUGAGGCUUGACUUCUUAUCCUGUUGACGGUGUCUUUGGCAAAGUGGAAGUUUUUCAUUUUAAUGGAGUCCAAUUUAGUAAUCGUUUCUUUCUUGGAUCAUGCCCUUUGUGUUACUGGUAAAAAGUCCUAACCAAACCCAAGGCCAUCUAGAUUUUUUCCUGAGCUAUCUUCUGGGAGUUUUGUAGAUUUGCAUUUUACAUUUAGGUUUAUAAUGCACUGAGAUAGUAUUUUUUAAAAGAUUUACUUAUUUAUUUGAGAGGCAGAGUUACAGACAGAGAGAGGGAGAAAGAGAAAGAGUGCGCACAAGCGAUCUUCCAUCCACUGGUUCACUCCCCAAAUGGCUGAAAUAGCUGAAGAUGGGCUGACCUGAAGCCAGGAGCCAGGCGCUUCUUCUGGCUCUCCCAUGUGGGUGCAGGGGCCCAAGCACUCGGGCCAUCCUGUGCUGCUUUCCCAAGUCAUUAACAGGGAGCUGGAUGGGAAGAGGAGCAGCCAGGACACAAACCCGUGCCUAUACGGUAUGCUGGUGCUGCAGGCGGGUGGAGGCUUAACCUACUAAGCCACAGCGCCAGGCCCUCAGCUAAUUUUUGUGAAGAGUGUAAGGUCUGUGUCCAGAGUAUUUUGGUAUUUUUUGUCCAGUAACUCCAUCAUUUCUUGAAAAGAUGCUGCUUUUUCCAUCAACCUGCCUUUGCUCAUUUGUCAAAAAUUAGUUGACUGCGGACGCAUCCAUGAAGGAUCAGAGUGUUCUUGUCACUGGGUACAGGGCCGUCUAAGGAUGGCAGAUUCUCACCAUGCACAGUUUCACUCUCCCUGAUUCUAGCCACUCUUAGAAAACACUCUGCUAUGUUCUGUUUCAAGGCUAAGUCCUUGGCUUCCCCUCUCCCCCAUGCAAGCAGCCGGGGCCGAGCAAGCCAGUCAGAGAGAGGCUCAUCUCUGCACCUGCAGCCUCUCCCGAGGGCCCAGCUGCAAUGCCGUGGCAAGCUUGGCGCCUGGCUGAGCAGUCUGGGACUGUAUCAGAGCCACCCGCAGAUGCGCUGUCCUGCCACAUCUUCCGGGAAACCAGCCCCCUUCUCUGCACCGCUAACCCAGACGUCCUCAGCAAGCAGGCGGUCGGUCCUGCUUCAGGCUGCUGAUCUGCUGUGGUCCUCGUCUAUUAACAGAUUAAACUGCCUCGCUCCUUCACCCCCAGACCUUGCCCUCGUUAUAUUUUUUUCAGAUUUAUUUAUUUUUAUUUGAAAAUCAGUUACAGAGAGGCAGAGGGGGAGGGGUGAUUUUCCAUUCACUGGUUCACUCCCCAAAUGGCCAGGUCAUCACCACCAUGCGCUCUUGAGUUUGUCCUUGAGUUAGGGGAGGAAGAGAAGUGGCAGAGUUAAGGUUUUGAACCACAGUGGAAAAUAAUGUGAGGACGAGGAAGCAGAGGACUCCCAGGAGAGGCAAGGUGAGAGGACGAGAAGUAGCGUUUCUCGCAGGAGAGGGGUUUAGACAGCGCGGGGGGACGACCUUGAACCCAGCCUGCCGCUGCCUCCACAGCUCUCCAGCAAGGAACUUCAGGGUCAGCCUCCGGAGUGGGACUGGGACGGCCGCGGGCACUCUGGCUCCACUGUGUUUCUGAGACCGGAAGUCUGAAGGUGUCUCCGCUCGUGAAGGGAUGGGGCAGGAAAAGGAAGAGUUUGCGAGCCCCAGGAUAAGGGUGGAGCCAAAGGCAUCCCGGAAAUGAAUUCCACCGCAGGGGAAGUGAAGGAGUAACCUCUGCUGAGUCAGCCCGUCCGGUGCUUCCUGCUGCAGUUGAGAAACGACCCACCAUCCUGCCUGUCGUGAGCCGCUCCGACGCCUUUGAGAAAGAUGGGAAAAUACUCCUCAUCUCCAGGGACUGGGGAUUGAUGCAGCAAUGGAUCGGUACAAAUAAACCUACUAAAGCAAUGUGUGUGUGUCGGGGACAGGAGGCAGAAGCUGGCCAAGAUGCCUGGAGCCCUUGGUGGAGUGCCUGGGCGCCACGCCCUCCUCUGACUCCUGUGGCUCCAGCUUCCCAUCAACGCAGAACUGGAAGGCAGCAGAGAAGGCUCAAGUGGCGGUGUUCCUGCCACCCGUGUGAGAGGCCUGAAUUGAAUUCCUGGCUCCCAGCUUCAGCCCCAGACUAGCCGCAGCCAUUGUCAGCAUCUGAGAAGUGAAUCAGCAGAUGGGUGGUAUCUGUCCAUCUAUCCAUCAUCUACCAAUCUAUCCAUCUAUCUACCUAUCCAUCUAUCUACCUAUCCAUCCAUCUAUCUACCUAUCAUCUAUCCAAGGCCCCUUUUGUCGGAGACCACACAUUGCCUCCAGUUUUGAAGAGCGUUGUGCCGGUUGAGGGAGAAGCAUCUUUGAAAUCACUGCUUCCCAAAUGCGUCCUGUGCCCAUCUCCCUUGACCCCAAAGUGUGUCAGGAAUGGGAACAAAUCUGUCCCAAGCAUGAGGACUUUCAGUGACCUGGGGAGCCGUGAGAGGCCAGGGAAGCUUGGGUGACUUCCCAGAGCCGUCAGAGAGAGCACGGAUGGGUGGGUGAGGGAAGCGGCUGGGGCUUCGCAGGUUAGUCCUUUGCCCGAGUGUUAAUACCUAAACUGGAAAUGAAAUCCCCGCCCUGUAGACUGAAAGACAGGGAAGCAUAACCAAGAAAAGCUAUGUUGGGUAUUGCGGGGUUUGAGAUGCAUGAAAAGGGUUUUGAAAGGAUGAAUUGUAUGGUGAAUGACCUAACCCCCCAUGGUGAUCGUUUGUGUACCCCGUAGAAUAUAGUGGGUAGCGGGAGGUGAAUCCCGGAGUUGGGGAAGCAGGCACAGGUCCCUCAGGGGAAGUCAUUGGUGCUCCUGUAGUUAUUGUUUUUAAUUCCUUCCAAGCCAGACACAUGAGACCAGACCUCAUCCCACUCCCUGGGAUGCCCACAUGCCGUGUCAUAAUGCCUGGUUCAAGUGCUGGCUACUCCACUUCUGAUUUAGCUCCCUACUGAUGCACCUGGAUGCAGCAGAUCAUGUGGGAGACCUGGCUGGAGUCCCAAGAUCCUAGCUUCAGACUGGCCCAGACCCAGCUGUUGUGGGCCUUUAGGGAGGGAACCAGUGGAUAGAAGAUCUCUCUCUCCCUUUCAAAUAAAAUAAAUCAUUUUUUUUAAAGUGGACAUUCUUUGGGGAUGAUGCUGUGGAAGAUGGCUCAAGUCCUUGGGCCCCUGCACCCAGGUGGGAGACCAGGAAGAAGCUCCUGGCUCCUGGCUUUGGACUGGCCCAGCCCCAGCCUUCACGGCCAUUUGAGGAUUGAACCAGUAGAUGAAGACCUCUCUCUCUCUGUUUCUCUGUCUCUCUCUCUCUCCCUAUUUCUGUAACUCCGCCUUUCAAAUAAUUACGUAAAUCUUAAACUAACUAAACAGAUGUUGUCACCUUCAGAGCCGUCACUGUUAAAGCUGUCUGUUCCAUUCUGGCUGAUGCCUCAAUUUUUGGUUUCAAGGUGAGGGGACACAGCUCAGUCCCAGUUGCCAUCCAUAGAUCGGAUUAUUUUUGCACAUCCAUGGCACAGCUGGUCAGUCACUAUCUAGCCGAAACCAGCUCAGGCCAGCUUGGUGGUGAAACCUCUGAAAACAACUUAAACAGUGGUUUACAGGUGGGCAUUUUGCAUAGCAAUCAAGACACCCAGCUCCACUUCUGAUUCCAGCCAAUUCCAACUUCCCGCUAAUGAACUCUGUGAGACAGCAGGGCCUGGUGAGCAGCUGGGUCUGUUCCACCCCCUUGAACGACCCAGGUCAGUUUCAGGCUCCUGGCUUGGCCCAGCCCUUGCUGUUGCCGGCAUCUGGGGGGUAAGCCAGCCAACACAUGGAAGAUUUCGCUUUCUGUCUAUCCCGGUCUCUCUGUCUUUCAAAAUAAAAUGAAAAUAAAUUAAAAAAAAUUAAUGUGAGAUUUUAUUUAAAAAGACAAUUGCAGGGGCUGGUGCUGUGGCACAGCAGGUAAACCGCUGCCUGCAGUGCUGGCAUUCCAUAUGGGUGCUGGUUCAUGGCCCCGGCUGCUCCUCUUCCGAUCUAGCUCUCUGC